CAGUCGCCACGGGAAUACAGAGGGUGCAAGCGUUAAUCGGAAUUACUGGGCGUAAAGCGCGCGUAGGUGGUUUGUUAAGUUGGAUGUGAAAUCCCCGGGCUCAACCUGGGAACUGCAUUCGAAACUGGCAGGCUAGAGUCUUGUAGAGGGGGGUAGACUUCCAGGUGUAGCGGUGAAAUGCGUAGAGAUCUGGAGGAAUACCGGUGGCGAAGGCGGCCCCCUGGACAAAGACUGACGCUCAGGUGCGAAAGCGUGGGGAGCAAACAGGAUUAGAUACCCCUGUAGUCCCUGUCUCUUAUAC
Molecule: ribosomal RNA, 301 nt
Filed under: uncultured bacterium
Lineage: Bacteria
Description: partial 16S ribosomal RNA
Rfam family: Bacterial small subunit ribosomal RNA
Source: RNAcentral